RNAcentral lists this unclassified non-coding RNA (164 nucleotides) under uncultured Zasmidium. Its description in RNAcentral is "sequence contains ITS1". Lineage: Eukaryota; Fungi; Ascomycota; Dothideomycetes; Mycosphaerellales; Mycosphaerellaceae. The record is from RNAcentral.
CCGAGUGAGGGUCCUCCGGGGCCCGACCUCCAACCCUUUUGUGAACCACCCUGUUGCCUCGGGGGCGACCCCGCCGUCGGCCGUCCGCGGCCGGCGUGCGGGGGCCCCCGGUGGCCCAUUUGAACCCUGCGUAACUGAGUCGUCGGAGUAUAAAUAAAUAAUCA